This 253-nucleotide ribosomal RNA is filed under the name uncultured bacterium. RNAcentral describes it as "partial 16S ribosomal RNA". It matches the Rfam family "Bacterial small subunit ribosomal RNA", at positions 524 to 776 of the family's 1533-position model. The record is from RNAcentral.
UACGUAGGGGGCAAGCGUUGUCCGGAUUUACUGGGCGUAAAGCGCGUGUAGGCGGCCACGCAGGUCCGUUGUGAACACUAGAGGCUCAACCUCUAGACGUCGACGGAAACCGUGUGGCUAGAGUCCGGAAGAGGAGAGUGGAAUUCCUGGUGUAGCGGUGAAAUGCGCAGAUAUCAGGAAGAACACCAAUGGCGAAGGCAGCUCUCUGGGACGGUACUGACGCUGAGACGCGAAAGCGUGGGGAGCGAACAGG